AUGUGAAUUGCGAGGAAUCUUGGUAAAAUGCAGACACUAAUUCACUAGGUCUGUGUUUGAAAUUCUAUAUUUCUAACAAGCUCCCAGGGUAGUCUCAU
This 98-nucleotide microRNA precursor is filed under the name Marmota monax (woodchuck). The record is from RNAcentral. Lineage: Eukaryota; Metazoa; Chordata; Mammalia; Rodentia; Sciuridae.